Molecule: long non-coding RNA, 378 nt
Filed under: Oryza brachyantha (malo sina)
Lineage: Eukaryota; Viridiplantae; Streptophyta; Magnoliopsida; Poales; Poaceae
Description: long non-coding RNA (OBRA_LNC002011)
Source: RNAcentral
UGUAACAUCCCAGCCCAAGCCUUAAUAGGAUUUGAUAGAUACUCAUACCAACAAGUUGCAACUUCUUUUCCGGAAGCUUAUCUCGAGAGAACUUCAAGGUUAAGUGUGCUUGGCCUGGAGUAAUCUUGGGAUGGGUGACCGACCGGGAAGUCAUUUCUCGGGUGCGCAUGAGUGAGGACAAAGUGCGCAGAAAAGACAUGUGUGUUGGUUGUGUGAGGGAAAGGGAAGUCUUGAUAUCCUAGAGCACAGGCCUGACCUAGGGGGGUUCCUAGGGUUGGGGCGUGAUAAUGAAAGUCAAUACUAAUAACUAGUGAAGCUAGCCUAGUGUUAAAUGCUUUGUAAAUUCAAUUUAUUAAACAUGGAGGCAACAAAUUUUGA